Molecule: long non-coding RNA, 361 nt
Organism: Lemur catta (Ring-tailed lemur)
Lineage: Eukaryota; Metazoa; Chordata; Mammalia; Primates; Lemuridae
Exons: 3
Source: RefSeq, a predicted model, not a curated record
UCUCUGAAGGUGAUUUCCUCCUGCUGGGUUGGGCCAAGCCUAAUGUCAUCAGUUUUAAGCAUCAAUAUGUAGCAGACCCUCUGGUCAUGAUGAAGCUGCACUCCAAAGGAAGACUCUUAUAUAUGGUCAUCAAGAGAUCCAUUUGAAUAUAUCAGAAGAGCAACUGGUGACCCUACAUGGGCCUGCAGCCCAGUGCUCUGCUCCCAAGAAGCUCUCGGUUCACCAAUGGCAGCUGUGCCUGGAUUUGUCAGGGCAGAAGGCUCUCUGACAGCUUGGGAACUGGCAGCCCACCACAGUGUCCCACCUGGGCUGUGCUUUCUCACCUGGAACGCCUUCCCCCGUGUGGGAUGCUCUGGCCCAG